Molecule: ribosomal RNA, 253 nt
Filed under: uncultured bacterium
Lineage: Bacteria
Description: partial 16S ribosomal RNA
Rfam family: Bacterial small subunit ribosomal RNA
Source: RNAcentral
UACGUAGGGUGCAAGCGUUGUCCGGAAUUAUUGGGCGUAAAGAGCUCGUAGGCGGUUUGUCGCGUCGAAUGUGAAAACCCGGGGCUCAACCCCGGGCCUGCAUUCGAUACGGGCAGACUAGAGUUCGGCAGGGGAGACUGGAAUUCCUGGUGUAGCGGUGAAAUGCGCAGAUAUCAGGAGGAACACCGGUGGCGAAGGCGGGUCUCUGGGCAACAACUGACGCUGAGGAGCGAAAGCGUGGGGAGCGAACAGG